RNAcentral lists this ribosomal RNA (234 nucleotides) under uncultured bacterium. Its description in RNAcentral is "partial 16S ribosomal RNA". It matches the Rfam family "Bacterial small subunit ribosomal RNA", at positions 99 to 334 of the family's 1533-position model. The record is from RNAcentral.
CGGACGGGUGAGUAAGCGUGGGUAACCUGCCUUGUACAGGGGGAUAACAGUUGGAAACGGCUGCUAAUACCGCAUAAGCGCACGGCAUCGCAUGAUGCAGUGUGAAAAACUCCGGUGGUAUAAGAUGGACCCGCGUUGGAUUAGCUAGUUGGUGAGGUAACGGCCCACCAAGGCGACGAUCCAUAGCCGACCUGAGAGGGUGACCGGCCACAUUGGGACUGAGACACGGCCCAA